Molecule: non-coding RNA, 987 nt
Organism: Arachis ipaensis
Lineage: Eukaryota; Viridiplantae; Streptophyta; Magnoliopsida; Fabales; Fabaceae
Source: RefSeq, a predicted model, not a curated record
AGGAAGGUGCGUAUAACACUGUUGAUAUCAUGCAGACCAAGUUUAUCCUCCCAGAUAGUGGAGAAAAGUGGGUGAUCCAAGCAAUUCGGGAUGCUUGGAAGCGGUUCAAGGGAAAGAUUAAGCAAAAGCACUUUGUUCCCUUUGAUACCAUCGAAGAUAUGGUGAAAAAUUGACCGACACAAGUUCCAGAAAGUCAAUUCAUAAAAUUGAUCUAUUAUUGGAGUCAUCCUACAAUCCAGUCAAUAAGUGAAAAAAAUAAGAAACAUAAAGAACAGCAAAAGUUUCCACAUCGCAUGGGGCCAAUCAAUUUUGGAAAAGUACGAGUGGCUCUGGUAUACUUAUUUAAUAUUUGUGCUGGGAUUUGUUUAGUUAAUUUUAGUUAUGUUGUUAUAGACUUACUUAUUUAAGGCUUUAUUUUGUAGCGCGCGACAAAGGAAACAAAUGAGGAACCAAAAAGGUUUGAAUUGUUCCUUGCUACUCGAACAAGUCGGAAAAGGAAGGAAGUUGAUCAGGAAACACAAGAUGCAAUUGAUGAAUUCCAAAACCGGCAAGCUGCUGGUGAAACAGAUGAGGAAGCUUUUGAGUCUUUAUUUGGAAAAGAAUAACCAGAUCGGGUUAGGUGCUAUGGAAGAUCUGUUACACGAAGUGACUUAAAAAAGCAUGCAGAAAUUUCUGAACUCAAGCAACAACACCAGGAGGAAGUCACAUCUUUGAAGGCUGAACUUGGAGACAUGAAGGCCAAACAGCAGCACCAAGAGGCUGACCUUCAUGGAUUGCGAAACAUGAUUAAGUUACUAGUUCAGCGAUCUGAACCUGGAAUGAGGCCGGAAGAAAUUGAAGCCUUGUUACAAGAUGCCCAACACUCUCCAAUUGAUGCAAAUAGCGCUCAUGGAUCAACACAUAUUCCAAACAUAAAUAUGGAUAAUUCUGAAGAUGCGAGUGAAGAUUGAGAUGCUUAUCAUGAUGGUUUAUUGACAAAGAUGGAAA